RNAcentral lists this small nuclear RNA (164 nucleotides) under Tupaia belangeri chinensis (Chinese tree shrew). Its description in RNAcentral is "Tupaia chinensis (Chinese tree shrew) U4 spliceosomal RNA". The stretch from base 1 to 80 matches the Rfam family "U4 spliceosomal RNA". The record is from Rfam by way of RNAcentral. Lineage: Eukaryota; Metazoa; Chordata; Mammalia; Scandentia; Tupaiidae.
AGCUUUGCGCAGUGGCAGUAUCGUAGCCAAUGAGGUUUAUCCGAGGCGCGAUUAUUGCUAAUUGAAAAAAAUUCAGGACUGGAUAGCUUCACAUCUCAGUUUAAAGAAAAACUAGCACCAGUUCUUCUCAAAUGUGUGCAAAAUAUUCAAAGCCAGGAAGUUGU